AUUGAACGCUGGCGGCAGGCUUAACACAUGCAAGUCGAGCGAGCGGCGGACGGGUGAGUGAUGACUGGGAAACUGCCUGAGGGAGGGGGAUAACUACAAGAAACGGUAGCUAAUACCGCAUACCAUCAGAUGUGCCCAGAUGGCAUUAGCUAGUAGGGGGGGUAAUGGCACACCUAGGCGACGAUCCCCAGCUGGUCUGAGAGGAUGACAGUCCACACUGUAUCGUAGCCACGGUCCAUACUCCUACGGGAGGCAGCAGUGGGGAAGAUUGCACAAUGGGCGAAAGUCUUGUGCCGCGAUGCCGCGUGUGUGAAGAAGGCCUUCGGGUGGUAAAGCUCUGUUAUCGAUGAGGCGUUAAGCGCAGAAGACGCACCGGCUAACUCCGUGCCAGCAGCCGCGGUAAUUC
This 406-nucleotide ribosomal RNA is filed under the name uncultured bacterium. Its description in RNAcentral is "partial 16S ribosomal RNA". It matches the Rfam family "Bacterial small subunit ribosomal RNA", at positions 30 to 526 of the family's 1533-position model. The record is from RNAcentral.